Molecule: long non-coding RNA, 2935 nt
Organism: Ornithodoros turicata
Lineage: Eukaryota; Metazoa; Arthropoda; Arachnida; Ixodida; Argasidae
Exons: 3
Source: RefSeq, a predicted model, not a curated record
UUGUAUGACGGAAAACAUGCACACGCAGCACCCUGAACAGAAGUAUUAAUGGAGCCUCACUGCAAAGCACGCAAGUACAAGAUACUCGGGAAGAGUCGGCCACGCCCGAACGAAACGACCGAAUCUCCCGAAUCGAAAAACUCACGUGAAACGAAACGAAGAGAGCUUUAGCAAGUCGAACUGAUCGGACGAAAACCGCUGCACCGAAACCCGCAAAGACUACGCUGGAGCUCCCUGCAUUUGGGCUACCGCGACUGCCAUCGCCAUCAUCUUUGUUUUGGUUGUCAUUGCUGGGUGCAAAUGGCCGGCGUGUGUGUUCUUAAUGUUUCUGAGCAACAAGUUUUGCAAAGUUUGGUUCGGAGGGAGUAUGGAACGCCGUUUUGUGGUCAACGUGGCCAGAGUGCCUCAAAAGUACUCCUGCCGCAUUCUGGUCACUGUUAUAAAUGUGAAUCCCUGCCACCAUCAGCAGCUUUUAAGUAGAUUCAUGGCACAUGAGGAACCUGCGAUGUACACCAUCGCACACAGUCAAGAAAAAUGUAGCAUUUAACCUUGCUUUCCUUCAUUAUAACAAACAAAAAAAAAGAAAGAAAGAAAGAACACUAGAGAAAGGGUCGGCAAAACAGUGAGUGUUUUGUUGUUUUUGAUUCUAUUGAUCUCUCACUGUCAGGUUGCACUGCCGAUCUGUUCACAAUCAUAACUAACUAAUACCUUAGCUUUGGCCAAUCUCAUGUUGCAAUUUUGCUUCAAACACAACAUUCAGGGAUUCUUAUGAAAACAGCAGCAUUUCUGAAAGAUCCUGGAACGGCCACAAUCUCAAGAGGUAGUACGAUUCUACCCGUCGUCAUAUUUCGUCCGCCAAGCCAUUGCGCGGAGAUGUUGGCUCCAUGCCCAUUUCAACACAGGCUCACCCGCGCUCGCUCGCGCGUCGUCGCUUGUCUUCCAUGCCACCAGCCAGCGCUGCGCGCUGCCUGUCGCGCAUGCGCUGUUCUUGUUGGCUUCGCUUUGGCUGCUGUAACGGUCGUUUCUCGUCGCCGCGUGUAGUUCGCGUAAUUGCGAGCGUUCCAGCAAGUCUAAAGCGUUUUAGAGGCUUUGUAUUGUUGUUCUCACCUGGUGCUGUCGUUCUUGCAACCCGUCUGAUAUUGCAACUGUCUGUAAGUGGAAGCGUUUCUUCUAACCGCGAGCAAACCAGUCGGUCUCGUUUGACAUGUCAAAGAGUGAAGACGCUACCUUGCAUGUGAAGCCAAAUCGUUCUUCGCCUUCAGGAUUAUUGCCGUUUCAGGGAUCUGCGCAACGACAGAGAGAUAGAACGCCAAGUGAAGUCGACUGUGUACUUUGUGCAGACGGUUCAGCGUGUAUGACGCAGCGGCCUUCAGCAAGAGAAACUCAAGCACCGUGUUCAAAUGCAGUGGGGACUCUUGCUGGCCAUGACAACGCUUAGAAGUGCUUUUUCGGAAGAAGGACAAGUUGGACCGGAAAUGAGGACCUAGGUGUGCUCUUUUGCGCUGUUGUUCACCGUUCGAUCAUUACCAGUUUUUGUGCCCCCGUGAGUUCAACGCUUAGGUAUGUUGAUGAUAAAUGGAUAUGCGUUAAAAGGUACGUACUCCGGAGUGGUGAAUUGUUCUGGUGAAGUGAUUCGUUGCUGCUAUCUCCUGUUUCGUGAGGGUUCUUGUCGGUACUCAUAUACCGCAGGCAUGAGGGGCUUUCUUUGCAGAACAUUUCAGUAAACCAAGACUGCAGCAUUUUCAAGAUUGCCAUAACCAGCAUCAAUGCAGCUCUCAUGUCAACAUCAGCAUCAAGACAGCUCUGAUGUGAGCAUCAGCCAGCGCAGCUCUGAUGUUAACAUCAUCAGAGCAGCUGUGAUGUUAACAUCAGACCUGAUGUCGCUUUUUUUUUUCAAUAGGGAUGCUUCUCCUUGACCAUGUUUUUUUUUUGCUUAUUGACGUUUUUGUGAAGGAACGCUGAAUAUGCGCACACCAUUGACUGUCAGCUCUAGUCCCGGUCAGCUGUCAUUUUUUACAGUUUUCGUUGUAGUAAUUGCUAGUCAUUUGCACCAAAGGCGCUGGAUGUGAACUAUUUUCUCUUUCCUGGACUUGCAUUUCUCCCAGUCGUUGGCUUUGUCAUUUUUUCAUAAUUUAAAUUUUCUCUUGGUAACUCUUGAGUUUCGUAAUCCCUACGCUGUGCAUUUUACCAUUUUUGAUAAAGCUCAUUCCACGUACCGUGCACAUACUAUUUUGUGCUGAAGUGCAGCAAUUGUUUCGUUACGUCUAAUGUUACAUGCCAUUCAUUUUUGUGUCUGGGCAGUACUGAAGCGUGAGCAGAUAGGCAGACUGCCUAUUACUGCAUAACUUCGUUUUCUUUGAGGCACCACCACUUGGACAGGCAGACCGCCUCUUGCUGUAUACUUUUUCUUUCUUUUGAGACACUGUUGACGUGCGAGUGGUUACGCAGGCAGGCUGCAUAUUACUGUAUACCAUUUCCCACCAUGCAGCAAUUUUACCGUUACGUCUAAUAUUAAUGCUACAAGCCGUUCAUUUCUUCCAGGGCCAUUGCCGAAGUGCAAGUGGUUAGGCAGACUGCCUACUACUGCAUACCUUUUUUGUUUCCUUUCAGAGACCACCUCUUACUGUGUACGUUCCCCCCCCCUUUUGAGACACCAUUGAAGGGCCAGUGGUUACGCAGGCAGGCUGGAUAUUACGGUAGACCAUUUCCACCCUUUUCUUUUCAGGCUACAUUGGCAAUGACAGUAGUUAUGCGGACAUGCUGCAUAUUUCUGUAUACCCCUCUUUUUUUGUUUUUCAUUUCAGACACAAUUGGCAUGCAUUGGAUGAUGCAGGCAGACUGCUUAGUGUACACCACUCGUCGUUUAGUCUAUUGAGGUGCUCCAAGUGUUGUGUCAGUCUAUUUCCUCUCCGAAAAUAAAAUGUUGGGCUCUACA